UACGCAGGGGGCUAGCGUUGCUCGGAAUUACUGGGCGUAAAGGGCGCGUAGGCGGACAGUUUAGUCAGAGGUGAAAGCCCAGGGCUCAACCUUGGAACUGCCUUUGAUACUGACUGUCUUGAGUUCGGGAGAGGUGAGUGGAAUGCCGAGUGUAGAGGUGAAAUUCGUAGAUAUUCGGCGGAACACCAGUGGCGAAGGCGACUCACUGGCCCGAUACUGACGCUGAGGCGCGAAAGCGUGGGGAGCAAACAGG
This 253-nucleotide ribosomal RNA is filed under the name uncultured bacterium. Its description in RNAcentral is "partial 16S ribosomal RNA". It matches the Rfam family "Bacterial small subunit ribosomal RNA", at positions 524 to 776 of the family's 1533-position model. The record is from RNAcentral.